Molecule: transfer RNA, 72 nt
Filed under: Schistosoma japonicum
Lineage: Eukaryota; Metazoa; Platyhelminthes; Trematoda; Strigeidida; Schistosomatidae
Description: tRNA-OTHER
Source: RNAcentral
GGCUUAGUGGUCCAAUGGCAAGGCUCUUGUCGCGGAGCCAGAGGGUCCUGGGUUCGAUCCCCAACAGGGUCG